Molecule: ribosomal RNA, 642 nt
Filed under: Triticum aestivum (bread wheat)
Lineage: Eukaryota; Viridiplantae; Streptophyta; Magnoliopsida; Poales; Poaceae
Description: partial small subunit ribosomal RNA
Source: RNAcentral
AUGCCUGUGUUGAAGACAUCGUGGGCGAUUGAAAAGCAUGGCAGCGAGGUGUUCACGCAUGAGAUAUUUCAGGAUUUUCAACAUGAGUUGCUUGCUGAUAGGGAUCGUUGCCUUGUUGAGAUGAUGGCACAUGAUGGUGAGGUUAAAACAGUAACUAUACAUGAUGGCUAUAAGAAAUUAAGGGUGGUAACUUACAACACAACAACCAUGGUAGGUUCUUGCACAUGUAAGUUGUUUGAGACGCACGGUAUCCCAUGUCGUCAUCUAAUCCAUGUCCUAAGAACAACCCAGCUAAAUGAACUACCAAAGCAUUAUGUACUCAAAAGGUUUAGAAAGGACUGCAAAACCGAGCCAGUCUUUGACGAGGAUGGCAUUCUAUUGGAAGGCAAUGAGAGCAGUUCAAUUGAUCUGGAGAUACAAAAAUUAGCUUCAGAAACAUUUAAGAAGAUGGAAGACCUUUUAGUACAAGCGAAGCAAUCUCAAGUCAGCAUGCAAUUCUUGAGAGAUCACAUUUUUGCACUUGGAGAGCAAUUGUCUACCCAAGUUCCAGCGAAAAAACAAACUCAAACGGAAGAAUUUGAGGAAUUUUUAGGUUGUUCUAUUCCAAGUGAGGUUCAUAUCCAUCCUCCAAAUGAUAUUUGA